CUACGGGCGGCAGCAGUGGGGAAUAUUGGACAAUGGGCGAAAGCCUGAUCCAGCCAUGCCGCGUGUGUGAAGAAGGCCUUCGGGUUGUAAAGCACUUUCAGUGGGGAAGAAAGCCUUGGGGCUAAUACCCUCGAGGAAGGACAUCACCCACAGAAGAAGCACCGGCUAACUCCGUGCCAGCAGCCGCGGUAAUACGGAGGGUGCGAGCGUUAAUCGGAAUUACUGGGCGUAAAGCGCGCGUAGGCGGUCUGAUAAGCCGGUUGUGAAAGCCCCGGGCUCAACCUGGGAACGGCAUCCGGAACUGUCAGGCUAGAGUGCAGGAGAGGAAGGUAGAAUUCCCGGUGUAGCGGUGAAAUGCGUAGAGAUCGGGAGGAAUACCAGUGGCGAAGGCGGCCUUCUGGACUGACACUGACGCUGAGGUGCGAAAGCGUGGGUAGCAAACAGGAUUAGAUACCAGUAGUC
RNAcentral lists this ribosomal RNA (462 nucleotides) under Vreelandella stevensii. RNAcentral's name for it is "partial 16S ribosomal RNA". It matches the Rfam family "Bacterial small subunit ribosomal RNA", at positions 339 to 795 of the family's 1533-position model. Lineage: Bacteria; Pseudomonadati; Pseudomonadota; Gammaproteobacteria; Oceanospirillales; Halomonadaceae. The record is from RNAcentral.